AUGUGGAAUGAAUUUGAGCAAUUAGAGCGAAAAAUAAGGGAGUAUUGGAUUUUUAGCGAUUCAGCGGUUAAAAAUGUCUUGUUACUUAAGUCCUGCAACGCCGAACCGCAAGUAUGCAGACUCAGCAUGCCUGGUGGCCGAGGCGUAUUUGCUUCACUUUAUUUCUCCUACUUUUACUCGGUCUGUAAGAGUCUCGCCUCGACCCCGUAUGUUUCAUAAUAAAACCGCUUGUACUGUUCUAAAAACUAAGUUCGCUAGUGAAUGACCAUACCUUCUGCGCGACAGGGAGGUCUAUGUUUUUCUGGGUAUACCACUCAGUUGCUCUGCGUCCGAUAUACCAAACAAGGUAGCUGCAUCCCAUACCUGGGGUAACUGGGUACACCACUUUUCCAAUGUUUAACAAGUUAUGUUCAUAUUUUAAGUUUUUUACAUUUAAUCAUUAUAUACCGACUACAUAACUCAUUUUUUGGAAAAUUGAAGCUGAAAUCUCCAUGUUCAUUGAAAAUCUUACAAUUUCUGAGUUGAUACAAUGACCGUCUAUUUUGUGGCAAAAUCCUUGUAAAGACGAACUUUUCAGCAAAAUCUCCCAAGUUAAACUACGCUUUGCUCGAAAGUCAUUAAAUACGUUUUCUUACUUUAAGCUGAUACAGUUUCCAAGAAGCAAGUUAUACUUGUUGUGAGUAAAGUUUGAUUCAUUUCAAAAUUUUUAUUCCACCAUUUUUCAAAGCUUUAGGCUGCAAACCCUCCUAGCAUCUAGAGUGUUCUUCAAAUACUUUGGCAGCUUAUCCAUUUUAGUUCUUUGGCAAAUUUAGAGAAAGUUUCUGCCAACAUUUUCAAAAUUUGGAAAUUCCGAAAAAUUUCAGAGCCAAUAACCCAAUUACCCCAAUUUGAUGGGUGACUGGGUUUGGCAACAAAAGAAGUAGUAGAAGUUCCUUUUUCUUUGAAAAAAUUUGGCAUAAGCUAUUUUAGUUUCGACCUCACCAUCUUUGAAACAAAAGGCUAAUUUAAGUUGGAGCAUUCUACCUAAUCUCUGUUUUUAACAAGGCUUCAAAGUUUAAAUUAUUUUUAUUUUCCAGAGGACUCGUCCCCAGUUACCCCACUUCACCUUCUAAAGCUUCGUUUCACAAAAUUUGUUGCUUGAAGAUAUAGAGGCUGAUUUCCUACGAAAUAUUGAAAUAGGAGAAAAAAUAUGUUGAAACACUGCAUUAUCGAUGAGACUGUUCUGCUUGGCUCAAUUCACAUAACCCCACUACUUCAGACUAAGGCAAGUUUUUACAGAGUAGAGAGAGAGGGGGAGAGAGAGAGAGAGAGAGAGGGGGGAGAGAGAGAGAGUAUUUACAGAAGAAAAAAAGUUAACCAAAGGAGACAUAACUCAGUUUGAGAAAAUCUCAAUGCUGAUGAACCACUGAAAGAAAAAAUAAAUUACUAGAAGGAGAUGCAGUUCACUUUAAAAAAAAAUCCUGAUGGUAUAGCCACUGGAAUAAGAAAAUGAAGAUAUGUGAAAAUUUAAAAAUGUAAGAAUUUGAUUGGAGGGCUAGUUUUUUUUUUUUUUUUAUCAAUGUUCCUUGAAAAACACCACUUCCUUGCAAAAUGCCAAAUUCAACUCAUUAGUGAGGACUUUGCAGUUGUACUUCACAUUAGAGUCAGUAAGUGAGUAAAGACUUCCAGAUCACAAAAAACCUAAAUUAGCGUAGGCCACAUCAGCCAUUGAAAACAUCUUAUGUAUUUGACAAACUGUAGGUGUUGAGUUUCACAAAAUUGUAAGCUCAUCUGGCACAAGGAGAACAUUUUCGAUUUUAGAACAUAUUUACAAAACUUCAUCAAGUGGUCGCUUUGCUGAAGACCUUGGUUUUUUUGUGGGCAGGAGGUAUGAUUUGACCGGCAUGAAAAAAUCCAGUUUCUCAUUUGUAAGUCUACUGUGAAAAUUUUGAAAGUGUUCACUUAAUUUUGCUUGAAAUUUUUUAAAGUGUGCCAUUGUACUAGAUUCCUCACUCUUUCAGUGAUCCGUUUUGCCAAAUCGGGGCAAAAGAUGUAAUGCAUCUAGCAACCAGAAGGUUCUACUCAAUUUCGGCAUUGCUUACAAUGAUUGAUUUUAACUUAAGUCCUGGUUAGAAGUUUAUAUAAAAUUGUUAGUUAAGAAUAAAAACUUUCAACGGUCUAAAUUUUCCUGUGCGUAGAACCGAGAGCACUUUUGUGUGAUCCUGGUGAGUUUUGUAGGGGAGAUAGCUUUCUUUUGAGGAUGGUUUUCUUACAGAAUUUGAUGAAACUUAUAGGUACGAUAGGCAGGCUCUCCUAAACUAAGGCGUACUCGGCACUACGAGAUUCCAUGCGCCAGUUUCAAGACAUUGGCAUCAAAUCCAAGCAAAAAUUAAGUCAGUCACCACUAAGUUCAAUGUGGACUGGCCCUACAAAAAGUUCUAGGGAGAGCAAAAACGAGCAUAAUGUUGCAAAAAUGUAAUCUUUUUCAAUUAAUGACAUUUCUUGCCUUCAGUAUUUUGCGGUGCACUAUAGCGACCAUCUCUCUAACCUUUUAUAAACUGCGAGUCAAAACUCAAUUUCCUUAAAUGAAUGUUUUCUGCACUUAAUGAAUGGGAAAGUCCAGGCAGAUGAUAAAGAUAAUAGGAAUAAGACCAAUUCUAAUGAUUUUGUAUCAAUGCAAUACGGCAAAAAUGUGAUAACUGGUAUUGUAUCGGGACUAGGCAAAUGAGCUGAGUAAAGCAAGUUAUCGGCUUAACAGGUUUGGUCCUUUUCUGAAGGGCUUUUUCGAAUUGCAAGUUCUGUUUUGACAAGUAAUAAAAUAUGCAUCGUAAUAAGUGGUUUUUAGAAGUGUUUUAGGAAUGUGUUGGAUAAAACAAAUUUUCAAUUAUCAGUCAAUUUUCAUUUGAACCGCU
Molecule: long non-coding RNA, 2891 nt
Filed under: Bemisia tabaci
Lineage: Eukaryota; Metazoa; Arthropoda; Insecta; Hemiptera; Aleyrodidae
Description: lncRNA ENSSSA2NGG012326
Source: RNAcentral